RNAcentral lists this long non-coding RNA (277 nucleotides) under Anser brachyrhynchus (Pink-footed goose). Its description in RNAcentral is "lncRNA (ENSABRG00000017239.1)". The record is from RNAcentral. Lineage: Eukaryota; Metazoa; Chordata; Aves; Anseriformes; Anatidae.
UGCCCUCCAGAGCAUGCAUGAGAGACAUCUCCAGACCCCAGGGAGACAUGGUGUGGAGUUGAAAGCUGCUUCUGAAUCUUCCCAGAUUCCCUGCUUCUGCCACCCCCAUUUAACUCGGACAACAGGAUUGCUCAGUCUCAGCUGUGCUUGGCUUCCACUUCACAUGCUGUCAAAUGACUGCUCUAGAAGUACAUAGAAAAAAAAAGGUAUGAAAUUUCUGUAGUGUAUUAAAUUACUGUUAGCAGGUAACUCCAAAAUUGGACUGUGUAGGUAGGCG